GGCUUAGCGGUGGUCUGUUUAUAUUUACUAUAAGAUUAUAAGAGUCAGAUUUGUCAUUUUGUAUAUGGGUUUGUUUGGGAAGUCUUGUCUUAGAAGAAACUUUUGUCAUAUAUUGAAGUUGUGCAUUUAUAUGUUAUUGAAUCUUUCCUAACAGUGGAAACAAUAAAGUUGGGAUUUAUAGGUUAGACACACAUUAAGGAUGCAGCAGAUCGCUAUGGAUGUCAGUUGUGUGGAUCCAACAUAUCGCUAUGGAAGCAAACAUUGUGAUUCUUCUCUAAGCCAUGCUCUUUAGGUAAAAAAUCAGCAUUAUUCGAUGGUAGAUGAUCUAGAAGACAGUGAUAGCGAAGAUGAUGAAGAUGAACAAACCGGUUAGACUGAAAUCGAAAUUCGCCUCUUUGUUUUUCAUUCUAUCGCAUCAGGUACCUUCAAUAUUCAGCGAGGAGUCAUUCUUUUUGUUUAUUUUGUUUAUUUGGAUUAUUAAUUGUUGUUUCUAAUUCUUAAGGAAAUUUUCUGCUUGCAACAAAACAAUCGAAAGACCUUUUGUCCUAUAUGCAAUCGGUCACAAAGGUUGUCCGUUCGAUCUCGAGUGAUUAUGUUAUUUGGUUUCAAAUUUGAUGAUGAGGAAUUAUGGGUUUUCUUUCAGUGUCGUCUUAAGAGGUCUCGAAACCAUAAUUCGAUAGUUCUUCCUUAAUUGUCAACUGUUGACUAACGAUUUGAUGCUACCUGUGAAAGAAAAUUGUGAGUGUAAGUUAAACAUGAUAAUCGCUUUUUGGUGAUAUUGGGAUUAAUGAUUUCAUUCGUCGCAAUCGCUCUUCUACUUUUCCCUUUCGUAGUGCUAAUGAUAAUAGUAAUCUACGAUAAUGAAGAAACGGUAUCAAUCGGUAAAUGAAUGGUGGUUUUCUUAUUUGUUGAUUGAUGUGCAUCUUUUCUAACUGUUCUCUUUGCUUUUGAAAGGGACUAUCUGCCUCAAGCUUAUCUCUUUAUCUUGGAAAAUCUGAGCUAUCGUUUCUCCCUUCAAAUAUCCAGUGGGAAGCGAAUGCUGGCGUUGAUGUGUAACUGAAGGUGCGUGUAAGGAAUCCGUCAGUGUUGAUAGCAUAAUGGUUGUUAGACGUGAGCCUUCAAGAAAUGACUAUAGGAUUCUCAUAGCAGCUGGCUUGGCCAAAGCUUCUUAAUCAUCCAUUUGUUGCAGGUUCUCUUGAUAUUUGAGGCUGGGAUACUUAUCUUCUCUUUAUGAGUUCUAAGCGGGGUACCAUUUGAUUCAACAACAAAUGGUGGAGAUUUUAAAGAG
Molecule: long non-coding RNA, 1288 nt
Organism: Helianthus annuus (common sunflower)
Lineage: Eukaryota; Viridiplantae; Streptophyta; Magnoliopsida; Asterales; Asteraceae
Exons: 3
Source: RefSeq, a predicted model, not a curated record